This 253-nucleotide ribosomal RNA is filed under the name uncultured bacterium. Its description in RNAcentral is "partial 16S ribosomal RNA". It matches the Rfam family "Bacterial small subunit ribosomal RNA", at positions 524 to 776 of the family's 1533-position model. The record is from RNAcentral.
GACGUAGGGCGCGAGCGUUGUCCGGAUUUAUUGGGCGUAAAGAGCUCGUAGGCGGCUUGUUGCGUCGACUGUGAAAACCCGCGGCUUAACUGCGGGCUUGCAGUUGAUACGGGCAGGCUAGAGUUCGGUAGGGGAGACUGGAAUUCCUGGUGUAGCGGUGAAAUGCGCAGAUAUCAGGAGGAACACCGGUGGCGAAGGCGGCUUUCUGGGCCUUACCUGACGCUGAGGAGCGAAAGCUGGGGGAGCAAACAGG